Molecule: ribosomal RNA, 253 nt
Filed under: uncultured bacterium
Lineage: Bacteria
Description: partial 16S ribosomal RNA
Rfam family: Bacterial small subunit ribosomal RNA
Source: RNAcentral
UACGUAGGGGGCAAGCGUUGUCCGGAUUCAUUGGGCGUAAAGAGCGUGUAGGCGGCCUUACAGGUCAGCUGUGAAAACUCGAGGCUCAACCUCGAGACGUCGGUUGAAACCGUAUGGCUAGAGUCCGGAAGAGGAGAGUGGAAUUCCCGGUGUAGCGGUGAAAUGCGUAGAUAUCAGGAGGAACACCGGUGGCGAAGGCGGCCCUCUGGACGGAUACUGACGCUGAGGCGCGAAAGCGUGGGGAUCAAACAGG